Molecule: ribosomal RNA, 300 nt
Filed under: uncultured Kofleriaceae bacterium
Lineage: Bacteria; Pseudomonadati; Myxococcota; Haliangiales; Kofleriaceae
Description: bacterial SSU rRNA
Rfam family: Bacterial small subunit ribosomal RNA
Source: RNAcentral
ACGUGGGUAAUCUGCCCUUCGGUGGGGGACAACAAUUCGAAAGAGUUGCUAAUACCGCAUCCGUUCACGAGUUCUGCGGAGCUUGUGAAGAAAGCUGGCUUCGGCUGGCGCCGAAGGAGGAGCCCGCGUCGCAUCAGCUUGUUGGUGGGGUAACGGCCUACCAAGGCAAAGACGCGUAGCUGGUCUGAGAGGAUGAUCAGCCACACUGGGACUGAGACACGGCCCAGACUCCUACGGGAGGCAGCAGUGGGGAAUAUUGGACAAUGGGGGCAACCCUGAUCCAGCCAUGCCGCGUGAGUG